Neogale vison (American mink) is the source of this 238-nucleotide long non-coding RNA. RefSeq lists it as uncharacterized. The transcript is spliced from 3 exons. NCBI's taxonomy places the organism in Eukaryota, Metazoa, Chordata, Mammalia, Carnivora, Mustelidae. The record is from RefSeq and is a predicted model, not a curated record.
CUCAUGGGGCGAGAUACUGGGGCACCUGUGGAUUUCAUUACUGAUCCCCUACACAUGCAGCUCUACAAGCUCUCUGACUAUUCUGAUAGAAGGAAAACAAACAAGGACACCACUGCCCAGGGUUCAGAACCUGUGGGAAGACGACCUCAGAAUCCCUAACUAAAAGAAGGUCAUUAUUGAAACUGAACUUCAACCUAUCAUCUACUAAAGGGACCUACUAAAGAGGCCUACUAAAGGG